RNAcentral lists this ribosomal RNA (434 nucleotides) under uncultured bacterium. RNAcentral's name for it is "partial 16S ribosomal RNA". It matches the Rfam family "Bacterial small subunit ribosomal RNA", at positions 29 to 507 of the family's 1533-position model. The record is from RNAcentral.
AGCGAACGCUGGCGGCAUGCUUAACACAUGCAAGUCGAACGGGCCUUCCGUUUUUUGUGUCGGAUGGGUGACUAACGGGUGGGUAUGUGGUUUUAGACCUGGCCCCUGCUCGUGAAUCACGUGCUAAAACCGAAUGUGAUCCUGGGGGGGAAGAUUUAUCGGCAUUAGAGCGGCCGGCGACUGUUUAGCUAGUUGGUUGAGGUGAUGGCUCACCAAGGCGCCGCUCAGUAGCUGGUCUGAGAGGAUGAUCAGCCACAUUGGGACUGAGACACGGCCCAAACUCCUACGGGAGGCAGCAGUGGGGAAUCUUGCGCAAUGGGCGAAAGCCUGACGCAGCCAUGCCGCGUGAAUGAUGAAGGUCUUAGGAUUGUAAAAUUCUUUCACCGGGGACGAUAAUGACGGUACCCGGAGAAGAAGCCCCGGCUAACUUCGUG